Molecule: long non-coding RNA, 357 nt
Organism: Homalodisca vitripennis (glassy-winged sharpshooter)
Lineage: Eukaryota; Metazoa; Arthropoda; Insecta; Hemiptera; Cicadellidae
Exons: 2
Source: RefSeq, a predicted model, not a curated record
UUCAACCAGUUACCGGAUCGGCGCAGUAGAGUGAACAAUUAAUUAUUUGUGCUCAAGUCCACGCGAAUGGGACUGUACCGUAGUGAUCAGUUCUGAGACAGCAGAUGUUUUUAUUUGGGAUUACAAGAGGAAAUGUCUGUUCGCCCUUUUAUUUGCAUUUUGGAAGAUGUUCCUCAGGGAAGUAAACGUGUUUCUCUUGUCCUUCUGUUGAAAACGACUACAUGAAAGAAGUGUGCAAUGCUACCUAGGAAGAAGUGGAACAGAGAGGCGAUAAAAUCCCAAUAUUUUAUAGUGACCAAAAAUGAACCUUUGUAGCCCGUGUCUAAUAUAAAUAAAUAUUGUAACAUGUUUUUAAUA